This 1486-nucleotide ribosomal RNA is filed under the name human gut metagenome. Its description in RNAcentral is "bacterial LSU rRNA". It matches the Rfam family "Bacterial large subunit ribosomal RNA", at positions 861 to 2431 of the family's 2925-position model. The record is from RNAcentral.
UAAAGGCAAUAAGUAUGUUGUUGUAAGUAUAGCUGUUCAUACUGAGACGCUUGAAGAGCUUGUAGUUUAUCGAGCCAUUUAUGGCGACGGAGAAUUAUGGGCUAGACCUAAGAAAAUGUUUUUGGAUAAUAUUGAAAAGAACGGAAAGAUCAUCCCAAGGUUUAAAUUGAUUAAGAAACUUUGAUUUUGUUCUUAGUGUGUAGUGGUAGAGGAGCGUUCCUAUCAGCGGUGAAGUCGAAUCGGAAGGUUCGGUGGAGCGGUAGGAAGUGAGAAUGCUGGAAUGAGUAACCAUAAGAGAGGUGAGAAUCCUCUCGGCCGUAAGAGCAAGGUUUCCUGAGCCAUGGUAAUCAUCUCAGGGUUAGUCGGGCCUAAGCCGAGGCGCAGAGCGUAGGCGAUGGACAUCAGGUUAAUAUUCCUGAACCGGUUAAGUUUUGUACACUGUUCACGGGGAAGUAAUCGAAGCGGAUUCAUGGUUUAUCCGUCCAACCGAGCGGGAACGCAAAGGGAGUGAAAGUGAUUCUUCGGAGUCGCGAUUUUGGUGAAAGCCCUGGCUAGAAAAGCAGGUGUACGCAUGGACUUAGCCGCCCGUACCGCAAACCAACACAGGUGCUCGAGUCGAGUAGACUCAGGCUUACGAGCGAACCUUCGCUAAGGAACUCGGCAAUACAGCGACCGUAACUUCGGGAUAAGGUCUGCCCCCACUUCGGUGGAUAUCAGCCGCGUUCACUCAGUGAAUAUUAGGUUAAAGAGUACAUUUUUAAUCACAAAACGAAUUUUCUGAGAUAGAGCAAACGAAUUGUUCUUUUGAACGCGAACCUCUGACAUCUAACGAUGUGGGGGCCGCAGCAAAAGAGCCCACGGAACUGUUUAUCAAAAACACAGGUCUCUGCUAACACGAAAGUGGAUGUAUAGGGGCUGACUCCUGCCCAAUGCUGGAAGGUUAAGGGGAGCGCUUCACGGUGCGAACUGAAGCCCUAGUCAAUGGCGGCGGUAACUAUAACCGUCCUAAGGUAGCGAAAUUCCUUGUCAGGUAAGUUCUGACCCGCACGAAUGGAGUAAUCAUGUGGGCACUGUCUCAGCGAAGGACUCGGUGAAAGUGCAUUGGCGGUAAAGAUGCCGUCUGUCCGUACCAGGACGAAAAGACCCCAUGGAGCUUUACUACAGCUUUACAUUGAAUAUGGUUUCAACAUGUGUAGCAUAGGUGGGAGACUUUGAAGCAGAUACGCCAGUAUUUGUGGAGUCACCAAGUGAAAUACCACCCUUGUUGUGAUUGUGUUCUCACGCUGACCGUUAUCCGGUUAGCGGACCGUGUAUGGUGGGUAGUUUAACUGGGGCGGUUGCCUCCUAAAGAGUAGCGGAGGCGUUCAAAGGUUGGCUAACUUCGGAUGGAAAUCGAAGUGAUAGUGUAUGCGCACAAGCCAGCUUGACUGUGAGGAGUACAUUCCAAUCAGAGACGAAAGUCGGAGCAAGUGAUCCGCUGUACGUA